This is an unclassified non-coding RNA of Cercocebus atys (sooty mangabey), 233 nucleotides long. Its record names the gene 7SK. It matches the Rfam family "7SK RNA". Rfam says of the family: 7SK was discovered as an abundant small nuclear RNA in the mid-70s but a possible function has only recently been suggested. The record is from Ensembl. Lineage: Eukaryota; Metazoa; Chordata; Mammalia; Primates; Cercopithecidae.
GGGUGUGAGAGUGAUCUGGCUACAACAUCUGUCACCCCAUUGAUUGCCAGGCUGGCUUCAUUAGUUCUGGCUGGCUAGGCUGGGGUAUCCUUCCUCCUUAACUUCCCGUGUACAUCUUUUCUUCAGCUGCAUGCUGUCAAGAAGAAUAUAGUUCUUAGCAGGGAAUAACCCCACUUGACUCAAGAACCCCCUAAACAAUCUCUUAGUUCUGACAUAUUUGUUCACCUUAAAGA